This is a long non-coding RNA of Octopus sinensis (East Asian common octopus), 185 nucleotides long. RefSeq lists it as uncharacterized. The transcript is spliced from 3 exons. Lineage: Eukaryota; Metazoa; Mollusca; Cephalopoda; Octopoda; Octopodidae. The record is from RefSeq and is a predicted model, not a curated record.
AUGGGCUGUUCAAUUUACAACAAAAUUCUCUGUUAACCCUUUCGUCACUGUAUUUCUGUUCAGAUGCUCUGUGUUUUCUUUCAAUUUACUUUAAAUAUAACAAAGAAUUUAGUAAAACAACUUGGUUAUCAUUCAGCUAGUGUUAGGGACAUAAAUUGUGACUAAGGUUUGGUUGAAGAUUUUAA